AUUUGUUAUUUGUAGACUUUUUGAUAACCAUUCUGACAAGCAUGAGGUGAUAUCUCAUUGUUGUUUUGAUUUGCAUUUCUCUAAUAAUUAGCAAUAUUGAGCACAUUUUCAUGUUUCUGUUAGCCAUACGUGUAUCUUCUUUGGAGGAAUGUUUGCUCAGGUCUUCUGUCCAUUUUUUGAUUUUUUUGUUUUUUUUUUGAUAUUGAGUUGUGUGAGCUGUUUUUAUAUUUGGGAUAUUAACCCCUUGUUGGUCACAUCAUUUGCAAAUAUUUUCUCCCAUUCCAUAGGUUGUCUUUUCAUUUUGUUGAUGGUUUCCUUUGUUGUGCAAAAGCUUUUAAGUUUCAUAUUUUCCCAUUUCUUUUAAGGUUCAUUAAGGUCCCAUUUGUUCCUUUUUUCUUUUGUUUCCUUUGCCUUAAGAGACAGAGCCAAAAAAAUAUUGCUAUGAUAUAUGUCACAGUGUUCUGCCUAUGUUUACUUCUAGUAGUUUUAUACUAUCCCAUUUUACAUUUAGGCCUUUAAUCCAUUUUGAGUUUAUUUUUGUACAUGGUGUUAGAGAGUGUUCUAAUUUCAUUCUUUUAUAUGUAGCUGUCCUGUUUUCCCAGCACCACUUAUUGAAGAGACUGACUUUUCCCCAUUGUCUAUUCCUUCCUCCUUUGUCAUAGAUAGACCAUAGUGCAUGGGUUUAUUUUUUGGGCUCUCUAUUCUGUUCCAUUGAUCUAUGUGUCUCUUUUUGUGCCAGUACCAUACUGUUUUGAUUACUAUAGCUUUGUAGUAUAGUCUGAAGUCAGGGAGUAUGAUAACUCCAGCUUUGUUCUUUUUUCUCAAAAUUGCUUUGGCUAUUCAGUGUCUUUUGUGGUUCUAUAUCAAUUUUUGGAUUAUUUUUUCUAGUUCUGUGAAAAAUGUCAUGGGUAUUUUGAUAGAGAUUGCAUUAAAUAUGUAGAUUGCUUUAGGUUGUAUGGAUAUUUUAACAAUAGUAAUUCUUCCAAGCCACUUACACAGGAUAUCUUUCUGUCUCUUUGCAUCAGAAAUUUAUUUUUAAGGAACUUGAUGCAAAUAUUUACUUUUUGGGAGGAUAUUAUACAAGUAAUAAUAAUGACAAUACUUGAUACUUAAAUAAUGGUGUUGAUAUGCCAGGCUUGAUAUGCUUUAAACAUAUUAAUUUAUUUGGUCCUCAAUACAAUACUACAAAAUAGGUAUCAUUUUAUCAUCCUCAUUUUCCAAAUGUGAAAAACAAAGCACAGAGAGUAAGUUGUUUAAGGACACAAAGAAAGCACAUAGCAAGGGUGUGGUCAUAGAAAGUCCAUGCUUUUAAUCACUAAGCUAUAUUGCUUCUCAAGAACAAAGACUACUUUCUAUAUUUAAUUCAAUUAAUAUACCAAGAAAGUUUGUAUAAGGUGGAUAACAUUGUCUCUAUUUGAAAAAUUAGGGAACUGAGGUUCAUAAAGGGGAGAUAACCUUCCAAACAUCACAGAUAUUAUAAGUGUACAAGUCUAAAAUUUCACUGAGAUUAAGUAUCCUUUUUCAUGAAACUGGUUCUAAAUCUGUAAUUCUCAUCCUAUCACAUGUAGACAAUGAAACAAUAUACAUCUAUGAAUGCAGUAUUCUCAAAAAUAUGUACUUAUCGGCUAUGCAUCUCAAUACCCAACUUCUUUGUAUAUCCUGUUACACAGUGUUCUUGAUGGGGGCAUGAAAAAACAGGAUAUGUGUUGAUAGGGCUAUGUUAGGACUGAUACCAGUCAUGUAGGAGGCACUCAAUCCAUAUUGAUUGAAUGAAAUUCCAUAAUUUUGUCCAUCAGUCAUCUCCUUUUAGAAAGAGAUUCAGUGGACAUUCCUCACAGCAGUUGAAAAUUAGGCACUGGGGUUUUGUUUGUUUGUUUUUGUUUGUUUUCUAGUUUUCAGAGUAGUUUCAAAUUUUGUCUUUCUCAAUAUUUUCAUUGGUAUGUGAAUGUGGAAUGCAAAUGAACUUUUGUUACUGCAUGUUCACAGUACUAAAGAUAGUUUUGGACAGAUGAUAAGCAUUUAAUCAAUAUUUGUUGAAAGGAUAAAUGGUGAGAGAAGACACAUCUGGGAAACAAAUAUCUACUUUCAUUAGAAGCAAAAUUUGUUUUGAGGAUAAAAUUAUUUGAUAUUAAUAUAUGCAAAAAACUAUGUGUUUCUUUUUGAAAAAUGGUUAAGGUUUCACCAAAGAUUUUGGUGUCUCUCAAAUAUAUUUGGGAAAACUAUUAAACAUACUUUAGUUAACCUCAUGACUAGUAACUUUUUUACAGUUUAAAGUAAAUUUAUAUAUAUUAACCCUAAGAAUCUAAGUGUGUAAGAUAUUAAUGAAUAGUAUUAGUAUGUUACAGAAGUUAUUUACAUUAAUGAAUCCAUUACUGAUUUAUAUAAAAUAAUUUUUCAAAGUUUAUGAAUGAUAUAAUUAAGAUGUUAUACUUUUGUUUGAAUAUCCAUAGCUCGGUCCGUUUUUAAGACAUUCUGUUCUGAGAAGAACAUUUAAUGUCACUCUAUCAAAUCUUUUCCCAAUUAAAAGAGAAAAUGCUUCAAUUAUAGAACAAAAGAACAAACAAAAACACCUGGUAAGUGUGCUUGCUUGUCCUCACUGAAUCACAUGGCUGCUACAUUUUUACAGUCCAUAAUUUAACUGUCAUACAGAAUCUCUGGGUGACAUAAACUUUUUCUGUUUUCAAAGCAGUAUAUUUGCAUCCCUCUUCUAAAGAUUGGUUAUAUUUAUGGCCCCAAGGAGUAAUUAAGGGAUUAUAGUAGAGGACAAUCUGCAUGCUUCUAGAAAUGAGUACUAAUCUGGUCAAGAAGAGCUAUUACAUUUUCAUUUUUAUAAAGCCUGCUUUUCAUUUACCUUUGUUGCCAAGAUAGAAGAGUUACCUUAAUGAGGUAAAGGUGACAGACUUUCUUUUAAUUAACAUGUUUUUCAAUACAAAGUAAUUGAAAAUUAAGGCAAUGCUUAAGUCAGUUAUUGUGAGAUUACAUUUCAUUGAUAUUUAGGCUUUUUUGACCAAAUUGUACAAGCAAGCAAGAUUGCACUAAGAUAGAUAAAUAGCUGCUAUUGAAUUAUGGGUUAAACACUGACUAUAUAAUAAUGACUGUGACAGUGGUUUCGACUUUGAUUUGGGGGGCGGGGAGGGGGCUGGAUUUAAACAAUUUGAUGUUAUUGUAUUCCAGACAAAAAUUCCUUUUCACUUCGGUAUCCAUACCACCAAGUGGCAUUAUAUUUCAGGAACUAACUGAGAUUAUAUUAAUUGCUAGGGAACUAGACUCUAAACAGAAAAUUAUUUAUUAAAGUAUUACAAUAAAAUAUAAACUUUAAUAUCUGAUAUAUCAUUAGACUACUUACUGGUCAGUAGAUCAAAUUCAUAUAGAUGUCAUCUGAGUUUAUUCCUGCUUACAGUCUAGACCUCUGCUGUCCAUUAUGGUAGCCACUAACCACAUGUGACUAUUGAGCACCUGAAAUGUGGCUAUUUCAGUUUGAAAUGAGCUGUAAAUCUGAAAUGCACACCAGAUUUUGAAAACUUAAUUUGACAAAAAAGAGUAUAAAAUAUCUAAUUAAUAAUAUUUUAUAUUAUAUGUUGAAAUGAUGAUAUUUAAGAUAUAUUGUGUUAAAAUAUACCAUUAUGCUUAUUUUCAUCUGUUUAUUUUUACUUGUUUAAUAUGGUCAUAGGCUCAUAUUAUAUUUCUAUUGAACAGUGAGGAUCUAGAACAUCCAUGUUUAGGAACAGUGAAUUCAUCAGUAAAUUAUGCUGAAAAAGAAGGUCUACAAUAAUGUCUCAUUUUCAAUUCCAUUUCACACACUAUCCUUUUUUUUUUUCGCAGUACGUGGGCCUCUCACUGUUGUGGCCUCUCCCGUCGCGGAGCACAGGCUCCGGACACGCAGGCUCAGCGGCCAUGGCUCAUGGGCCCAGCCGCUCCACGGCAUGUGGGAUCUUCCCAGACCAGGGCACGAACCCACGUCCCCUGCAUCGGCAGCAUCAGCAGGUGGAGUCUCAACCACUGAGCCACCAGGGAAGCCCCACACAUUAUAAUUUUGCUUCUGUUAUAUGUUUUGUUAUGACAGGGAGCAAUAGCCCAUUAACUUUACUCAUAAUCAUUAUUAAUAUGCAGUAUUUCCUUUAAAAUACAAAUAUUUAAAAGCUAUUUCAUUUAAUUUAAAACCACUGCCUUACCAUUUAUGGUAUAAUUGUCAUAAUUUUCAAUUCUAUAUCUAUUUUUGACCCCGAAGGGGUUAUUAUCAUUUCUUGAGUUAUAUUCAUUUAGAUUCACCCAUGUGUUUAUCUGUUCCACUGCUCUUCAUUCUGUCUUUCAUUUCUAUGCUUCUAUUUGGGAUCAUUAUUCUUCUAUCUAAUGAACUCCUUUUAAUGUGUAGGUUCAUGUAGAUUUGCUGUUGAGGAGUCCUCUCAGUUUUUGUUCAGAAACAUUUUUAUUUCAUUUUCAUUUUUGAGGAAUAUUUUUCCUGGAUAAAGAAUUCCUGGUUCACACAUAUUUUCUUUCAGCAUUUUAAAGAUGUCACUUCAUUACCUUCUGCAUGUUUCUUUUAUGAAAUAUUUUUUCUUUGAAUAUAAUGUCUUAUCUGGCUGCUUUUUCAAAUGUUCUUUAUGCAUUUUAAAAAGUUAAUUUUACUCUAAUAUGCCUAGGUUUUCUUUCUCUCCACCACAGUCCUCCUUGGUAUUUGCUGAAGUUCUGGAUUGUGUGGAUUGAUGUCCUUUUCAGUUGUGGAAAAUUUUCACACAUUAUCUAUUAAAAUAUUGCUUUUAUAACAUUUUAUAACAUUCUCUCUCUUCUUACUUUGAAAAUAUAAUUACAGAUAUUAAAUCUUUUUAUUGUAUGUCAUAUAUCCUGUAUUUCUUUUCUAUAUUACAGACUCUUUUCUCUCUGUACUUCAGUCUGUAUAUUUGCAAACAAUCUCUCUUCUAGAUCACUAAUCCUCUCUUCAAUAGUCUAAUCUGCAGUUAAACACAUCUGUUGCAUUCUUAAUGUCAAUUAUAUUUUUAAUUCUAUAAUUUCCAUUUGAUUAUUGUUUAUAAAUUCCAGUUACAUGGUGACAUUCUCCAUCUCAUCAACAAUUUUGUUAAGCAUCUUACUCCAUUAUUUUAAAGGCUAUAAUACAUAAUUCCAACUCUGAUUCACCUUUGGAUCUGCUCAUACUGUUUAUUUUCUUAGUUUCUGUCUUUUAAUUCUAUCUCCUGGCAUGCCUAAUAAAUUUGAUUAAAUGUUGGUUUUAGCUUAUGAAAAAUUAUAGAGAUAAUUUGAUGUUUUGUCUCAUACUAUCUUCCUCCAGACAGAAUAUUCUUCUGCUUUCUCUCAGGCACCUUAGAUAUGGAGCAAACCAAUUUUUUCCACUGUGGGAUUUUGCUUGUUUAGGGCUGAGCUUCACAUUUUUGUGAGAAUUGAUCUAAUUCUCAUCAUCCAUGUUCCUAAGGUAUAUUUCUAUGAUUCUAACAGGAAGUCAGUGGCAAUCACUAGAGUUCCUCCCCUAACAUUUUUUCCUCCAUCCUGUGAAACUGCCAAACACUCUGUGCAGAUGCCCAGACCUUACCUUCCACUUCUGACUCUACUUCUUAGACUCUUGACCCAACAUCAAAUAAAAUUUAGCAAUGGCUUGAGGGGCAAAAAACCCCGACACAAUGCUAGACUUUCAUCAGUGUUCUCUUUUCUUUGGAACUUUUGUCUCCUCAAGUCCUGCUAUCUUGGACCUGAACUCUAAGGUUUGUUUCUAUAGACCCUAAGAAGGCCAGAACCUCAGCUUACAUUCCUAUCUACUUUGUGGCUGUCUUCUUAGCCUUAGGAAUUACAACAGUCCUCCAAGGCAAUGUUACACUCAAAGUUGUGCCCUCCCCAUCCUUACCACCAGGUUCCUGGCCCUUACAAGACACGGUUGUCUGUGUAGCUCUCCAUUCUCUUGACUAGAUAUAAACAAAAAUAAAUUCCCUAAUUUCUCUCAGAGACUUGGUCUGCAACAAGUUACUCUGCCAUAUCUGAAAUUCUUCCUUUACUACAGUUUGCCAAGCUCUUUGCCUUUUACCACUCAAUUCUUGAAAUCGUGUGUCUUUGAUGAACAUUUAUAACUAAAUAUAAUAUUUCCUAGACAUGUAACUAUAUGCUCAUCACCCAACUAAAAGUAUACAGUAUUUUUAAGAAAGUAUAUUUAUUAACUUACUUGCAUAUUUAUUUCUCUGAGGAUUAUUAUUGUCACAUUAUAAACUAAAAGAACAUGUUAAGAUUAUGUUUAAUUAUUUAUUUUUACAUGGUGCCACAAAAUAAGUCCUUCAAAAACGUUUUCAUGUCCCAGAUGUGCCCACCCACAUCCCAAACCCUCUGUGCAAUAAACCUUCAGAAGACAAAGCAGACUAGCUCCUUGUUCAAUAUUUCCACUACAGAUGAACAAAAAGACUGAUUCCAUCUUUUCUGUUUAUAUACUCUCCUAUCAUUACCACUAGAGAACCUCAAGUAAAGGACAUCAGAUUUGGAUUCAGAAUUAUUCUGCAUUUCAGUAAAUAUAGUGUCAUUUAGAGGCUCCCUCCUUUAAUUAACUUUCAGGAAAAACAAUUUUAUUUCACAAUUAGGGAGGAGUUUAAUGUUUGGCUGAGCUACUACAUUAACUCUAAAGAAAAAUGAGUGAGUUAACAUGUUCAAGUGGCUGCUAUCAGCUCCAUGCAUGUUUGGGUGAAGGGGGAGCAAGCUAAAUAACAGAGGAGUGUUGGAUGAUUGAACAUUGGGAAAGAAUUACUAACUGAAUGUCAAAUAGCAAGGAUAAUGUCACCAAAACAAAUUCUCUGGACUUCACAGGUUUAGCCUGGAUCAAAUAACCACAUUUUGCUCAACUGUUCCUGGUCAUAAUGGAAAUAAACAUAAAAUAUUUUUGGCAUGUAUAGUCUCACAUACAUGAAACUUCGUGAAAAAAUUGAUUUCUCCUAAGAUGAAACCUAGUACAGCCUUUUAUGUGCUACAAGUACAUUUUAAAACCAAUUAUAUUAUAAAGUAUCUUCAUUCCCCAAAUAUUCAUCAAUGAAUAAAUCAGUAUAUCAAAUUAUAUUUUGAAAGUUUUAUCAUUUAUUUAGUUGUGACUUCUGUCAGUUGAUACUUCAUCUUAUUAAAUUCACUAUUAUUACGAUGUAACAUCCAAACAAUUGCAGUUAUAAUAUGUAUUUUAAUAUAUACUUUCAAGUACCCUGAAUCUCUAGAAGAGUCAUUAGGACAAUCCAAAAGCUAGGAUUUGGGCAUAAUAUGAACUACUUGAUAUCAGUGAUACUUAGUCAAUUUGGUUAGGGGCAAAAAGGUAUUUUGUGAAAUUUUUGUAUAUUUUUAAAUUUGAGGUAAUGUAACUAGAGGAGCAAUCUGAGAGAAUAUUUUGGCUUAGGUUGAGUAGUACAAUAAAGUCACCACUUACUGAAACAGGCUUUCUUUCCCCACAGAUAUAUUCCAAAGUUAUUAUCUAUUAAUAUAAAGGUAAGCUGACAGUUCUCUCACAAAGAAGUAAUUCCAUUUUGAUGAUGUCCUCCAUCAGCUGCUCAAAGAAACAUAAUUGCUCUUCUAACCUCAAGAGAUAGAAAAAUCUGCUCUUGCAAGACAUUUAAUUAUUUUUUCCUCAAAAAUGUUCCUAUUACAAAAACAGUAUGUGUAUUUGUUGCAUUCUUUCUCAAUGUAUAUUACUAGUGCUUUCAUACAAAAUAUAAUGCUGAAUAAAGACAUCUGAUGAAAAGUC
Molecule: long non-coding RNA, 7708 nt
Organism: Orcinus orca (killer whale)
Lineage: Eukaryota; Metazoa; Chordata; Mammalia; Artiodactyla; Delphinidae
Exons: 2
Source: RefSeq, a predicted model, not a curated record